AUGAACGCUGGCGGCGUGCCUAAUACAUGCAAGUCGAGCGAACAGACGAGGAGCUUGCUCCUCUGACGUUAGCGGCGGACGGGUGAGUAACACGUGGAUAACCUACCUAUAAGACUGGGCUAACUUCGGGAAACCGGAGCUAAUACCGGAUAAUAUAUUGAACCGCAUGGUUCAAUAGUGAAAGACGGUUUUGCUGUCACUUAUAGAUGGAUCCGCGCCGCAUUAGCUAGUUGGUAAGGUAACGGCUUACCAAGGCGACGAUGCGUAGCCGACCUGAGAGGGUGAUCGGCCACACUGGAACUGAGACACGGUCCAGACUCCUACGGGAGGCAGCAGUAGGGAAUCUUCCGCAAUGGGCGAAAGCCUGACGGAGCAACGCCGCGUGAGUGAUGAAGGUCUUCGGAUCGUAAAACUCUGUUAUUAGGGAAGAACAAAUGUGUAAGUAACUAUGCACGUCUUGACGGUACCUAAUCAGAAAGCCACGGCUAACUACGUG
This 496-nucleotide ribosomal RNA is filed under the name uncultured bacterium. Its description in RNAcentral is "partial 16S ribosomal RNA". It matches the Rfam family "Bacterial small subunit ribosomal RNA", at positions 29 to 507 of the family's 1533-position model. The record is from RNAcentral.